This 1347-nucleotide ribosomal RNA is filed under the name uncultured bacterium. Its description in RNAcentral is "partial 16S ribosomal RNA". It matches the Rfam family "Bacterial small subunit ribosomal RNA", at positions 28 to 1381 of the family's 1533-position model. The record is from RNAcentral.
GACGAACGCUUGCGGCGUGCUUAACACAUGCAAGUCGAACGGAAAGGCCCUGCUUUUGUGGGGUGCUCGAGUGGCGAACGGGUGAGUAACACGUGAGUAACCUGCCCUUGACUUUGGGAUAACUUCAGGAAACUGGGGCUAAUACCGGAUAGGAGCUCCUGCUGCAUGGUGGGGGUUGGAAAGUUUCGGCGGUUGGGGAUGGACUCGCGGCUUAUCAGCUUGUUGGUGGGGUAGUGGCUUACCAAGGCUUUGACGGGUAGCCGGCCUGAGAGGGUGACCGGCCACAUUGGGACUGAGAUACGGCCCAGACUCCUACGGGAGGCAGCAGUGGGGAAUAUUGCACAAUGGGCGGAAGCCUGAUGCAGCAACGCCGCGUGCGGGAUGACGGCCUUCGGGUUGUAAACCGCUUUCGCCUGUGACGAAGCGUGAGUGACGGUAAUGGGUAAAGAAGCACCGGCUAACUACGUGCCAGCAGCCGCGGUGAUACGUAGGGUGCGAGCGUUGUCCGGAUUUAUUGGGCGUAAAGGGCUCGUAGGUGGUUGAUCGCGUCGGAAGUGUAAUCUUGGGGCUUAACCCUGAGCGUGCUUUCGAUACGGGUUGACUUGAGGAAGGUAGGGGAGAAUGGAAUUCCUGGUGGAGCGGUGGAAUGCGCAGAUAUCAGGAGGGAACACCAGUGGCGAAGGCGGCUCUCUGGGCCUUUCCUGACGCUGAGGAGCGAAAGCGUGGGGAGCGAACAGGCUUAGAUACCCUGGUAGUCCACGCUGUAAACGGUGGGUACUAGGUGUGGGGUCCAUUCCACGGGUUCCGUGCCGUAGCUAACGCUUUAAGUACCCCGCCUGGGGAGUACGGCCGCAAGGCUAAAACUCAAAGGAAUUGACGGGGCCCCGCACAAGCGGCGGAGCAUGCGGAUUAAUUCGAUGCAACGCGUAGAACCUUACCUGGGUUUGACAUGGAUCGGGAGUGCUCAGAGAUGGGUGUGCCUCUUUUGGGGUCGGUUCACAGGUGGUGCAUGGCUGUCGUCAGCUCGUGUCGUGAGAUGUUGGGUUAAGUCCCGCAACGAGCGCAACCCUUGUUCACUGUUGCCAGCACGUUAUGGUGGGGACUCAGUGGAGACCGCCGGGGUCAACUCGGAGGAAGGUGGGGAUGACGUCAAGUCAUCAUGCCCCUUAUGUCCAGGGCUUCACGCAUGCUACAAUGGCUGGUACAGAGAGUGGCGAGCCUGUGAGGGUGAGCGAAUCUCGGAAAGCCGGUCUCAGUUCGGAUUGGGGUCUGCAACUCGACCUCAUGAAGUCGGAGUCGCUAGUAAUCGCAGAUCUGCAACGCUGCGGUGAAUACGUUCCCGGGGCU